This 21-nucleotide non-coding RNA is filed under the name Arabidopsis thaliana (thale cress). Lineage: Eukaryota; Viridiplantae; Streptophyta; Magnoliopsida; Brassicales; Brassicaceae. The record is from RNAcentral.
UUCACAAACAGACUACUUUGC